Molecule: microRNA precursor, 59 nt
Filed under: Macaca mulatta (Rhesus monkey)
Lineage: Eukaryota; Metazoa; Chordata; Mammalia; Primates; Cercopithecidae
Description: Mml-Novel-9_pre stem-loop
Source: RNAcentral
UGCAGCCAGCAGUGGGACCUAAGGUUCUAGAAUGGCCUAGAUCCCCAUCUGGCUCUGUU